Non-coding RNA from Camellia sinensis, 2913 nucleotides. The record is from RefSeq and is a predicted model, not a curated record. NCBI's taxonomy places the organism in Eukaryota, Viridiplantae, Streptophyta, Magnoliopsida, Ericales, Theaceae.
AAAUUACUUACAGCUGUUUAUCACAUCAAAGGAUCUGAAAUCUGUCUCAGAGAACCCUCCCUUAUCUUCUCAACGAUGAUCUCCCUCUACCAACCACGAUAUUCUACCACCUCUUCCCUCCUCUCACCUCUCACCGAUUUCCUCCCUCCUUUCUCCUCUGGCAACCACCAAUGACGUCUCCUUGUGGUGCCGAUUUUGUUUUAUUUUUUGUGGGUAUUCAUAGUGUUCACUAGCGAAUCAAACGGAAAUUGAGCUUAAGGAUGGAAGAAUACGACACAAGCUUCUAUUAAGUACGCAAAGUGGAAAAAUGGAGGCUGAUUCAAAUGUUGGUGAGAAUCCUUUAAUAAAUGAGGGCAAAGACGUUGAAGAACCUAAAAAGGGUAUGUGUUUUAGCUCAAGGGAAGAGGUGUACACAUUUUAUGGCAAAUAUGCUAAGCAUGUUGGAUUUUCUAUAGCUCAUAGAGCACAACAUUUUGGAGAUGAUGGGCAAUUGCUAAACUUUGCAAUUUAAUGUUUUCGAGCGGGGCAGAGAAAAAAGAAAUCAGAAGUCAACCCUCUGAAGCCAUGUUUGUCCACAAAAAUUGGUUGCACAGCAAGGGUACGAGGUAGUGUACAAAAGGAUGGGAGAUAUAAACAAACCACAAUUAACCUUGAGGAUAAUCAUGAUUUGAUUCCCAUUGACUCACGUCAUUUUGCAAUGAAUAAGAAAAUUCUUACUCCGGUGAAGAGAAGAUUAGAAAUUAAUGAUCAAGCAGGGAUUGGGGUGUCUAGGAACUUUCAUUCAAUGGUUGUUGAAGCGGGGGAUACGAGUCAUUGACAUUUGACGAGCGAGAUGCAAGAAAUUACAUUGAGAGAGCUAGAAGGUUGAGGCUUGGGAAAGUGAUGCCGAAUCACUUCAAAGUUAUUUUAUGAGGAUGCAAGCACAUAGUGAGAGAUUCUUUUAUGUGAUUGAUGUUGAUGAGGAGUUUCGCAUUAGAAACUUGUUUUGGGCUGAUGCAAGAAGUAGGGCGACUUAUGAAGCAUCUGGAGAUGUCGUUUCAUUUGACACAACUUAUUUGACGAACAAAUAUGACAUGCCAUUUGCUCCAUUUGUCGAAGUUAAUCACCAUGGACAGUCCAUUUUGCUUGGUUGUGGAUUGUUAGUGAAGACCCUAACACAUUUGUUUGGUUAUUCAAGUCAUGGUUAAGUUGCAUGUCAAAUCAUCUGCCAAAAGCUAUCAUAACUGAUCAGUGUAGAGCUAUGCAAAAUGCUAUAGAAAUUGUGUUUCCACAAGCUCGACAUCCAGAGAAGUUGAAAGGAUAUGCUCAGUAUGAAGCCAUAAAGUUGGCUAUGCAAAAUGCAGUUUAUGACUGUUUGACAAGAGCUGAAUUUGAGAGUAAAUGGGAAGAGAUGCUUGCAACAUUCAAUCUUUAUGAUAAUGAGUGGUUGGGGGUACUAUAUGAUGAGCGGCAUCGAUGGGUACUUGUCUAUGUUAAAGACAUUUUUUGGGCUGGCAUGUCAACUACACAACGAAGUGAAAGUAUGAAUGCGUUUUUUGAUGGAUAUGUAAAUCCAAAAACUACAUUGAAGCAAUUCGUUGAACACUAUGACAAUGCCUUGAGAAAUAAGGUAGAGAAAGAGAAGAAAGCAGACUUCAAGUCUCGACACAAAUUGUUUGAUUGCCUAACUAUAUAUGGUUUUGAGAAGCAAUUUUAGCAAGCCUACACCAGUGCGAAAUUCAAAGAAGUUCAAGGAGAGUUGAAGAGAUUAGUUUACUGGCAGGCGGUGAUUGUGAAAGAGGAGGGAUCAAUUUCUACAUAUAAUGUCCAAAAAGCGAUGGUAGUUUGUGAGAAGAUGAAGCAUGUGGAUUUUGUUGUCUAUUUUAAUUCAACUGAAUGUGAAGUUCAAUGCAUGUGUCGGUUGUUUGAGUUUAGAGUCAUUAUGUGUGCUCACUCACUCGUUGUGCUUAUCAGAAGAUGCAUAAAUGAGGUGCCAAGUAAAUACAUUUUACCCCGGUGGAGAAAGGAUGUGGAUAGAGAAUACGCAUGCAUCAAAACCACAUACACCGGCUUUGGGAAUGAUUUCAAUGAAAGUACCUAUGAGAGGAUGAACAAAAAAUUGAUUGCCAUUGUACAACUUGCUGGUAACUUUGAAAGCAAAACUAGAAUUAUAGAUCUUGGGUUGGAUGAAAUCAAGGAGAGAGUCAUGAAAGAAGAAUCCGGUGAUGGGAAUAAUUUACCAUGUUCCACAAAAAGUCCGAAUCACACCGGUUCUACACAAGGAGGUACUAGUAGAAAGGUGAUUAGUCAUUUGGUUGCUCGAGGAAGAGGUCCUCCAGUUACGAAACGGAAGGUUGCCAAAGUAGAUCAAAUUGUUAAUCGGUUGUAGGAAACGGCAAAAAAACAAACAAAAGCAAAGGCUACUAAGUUGCUUCAAUUUGAAGCUGAAGCUCAAGCUCAAGCUAAAGCUAACGCUACUGCAUAUACACCGUAUUAUCCUUAUAUGGUUGGCACACAAAAUAGUAUGUUUGUACCGGUGGCCCAUGGUAUUGCAGGCACGUCUCUUACUCCAUCGGACUUCAUAAGUGGCACACAGGGAAGUUUGAUGAGUGCUCCAACUCAGAUUUAUGGUUCUGCAUCUCUAACCCCAGCAGUUUCUCAUGCAUGCACACCGGGAAGCUUUGUUAUUACAGACUUGUUUGACUAGUUUCUAUGUAUUCCAACUGUUUGUUUUUUAGAUUGGAAAUUAUGUAGUCUAUUAAUCUGAGUUUCAAACUUUGUUUUUGAGAUUGGAAAUUAUGUAGUCUAUUAAUCUGAGUUUCAAACUUUGUUUUUGAGAUUGUAGCUUAUGUUACAACCUUGGUAUUGAGAUUCAGCAUGUGGAUUUGUAAAACAUGUGGUAUACUAAUUAUUAAUGAAGUUAUGUUAUUAUUA